GGGGGUGUGGCUCAGUGGUAGAACAUCUGCCUGGCAAACAGAAGGCCCCAGGUUCAAUUCCUGUCAUCUCUA
Non-coding RNA from Sphaerodactylus townsendi, 72 nucleotides. The record is from the annotation of a RefSeq genome assembly. NCBI's taxonomy places the organism in Eukaryota, Metazoa, Chordata, Lepidosauria, Squamata, Sphaerodactylidae.